Ciona intestinalis (vase tunicate) is the source of this 462-nucleotide non-coding RNA. The record is from RefSeq and is a predicted model, not a curated record. Lineage: Eukaryota; Metazoa; Chordata; Ascidiacea; Phlebobranchia; Cionidae.
CUCGCGACGUCACGCGCAAUGGUUUACAAUCGCCGCGUUAUGUUACGUCACAAACUGUCACAAUCGCUGACAGUUCGCUCUUUACCGCGCGCUCGCGUCAUAGCGUCAUAGCUGAAGACGUCAUAGCUGAAUACGUCAUAGCUGAACAAUAUGCGACUGUGCUACACUUUCGUUUUGCGGCGUUUUUUUCAUGGGGCCCCAUGCGCGUUUUGCGUCGCGUCGAAAAAAGGCACAUUACUUGUAUAUUCUAAUUAUAUUUGCGCAAUGGGCGCGAAGCAAGAAGAUCAAAGAAUUGGUUAAGUAUAAAUCACAAUUGGCUUUAUUACGUACAUAAGUUGUUUUCUAGAAAGAUUGGUGAUGUGACGUCACGAAGUGGUGAUGAUGCAAAAGAAGAACCCACUUCAACAUGGUAUGUGACGUCAUAGAGGAUCAAGCGGACCAUGACGCGAAAAAAGAAUGAAG